This 492-nucleotide ribosomal RNA is filed under the name uncultured bacterium. RNAcentral's name for it is "partial 16S ribosomal RNA". It matches the Rfam family "Bacterial small subunit ribosomal RNA", at positions 29 to 507 of the family's 1533-position model. The record is from RNAcentral.
AGUGAACGCUGGCGGUAGGCCUAACACAUGCAAGUCGAACGGCAGCACAGUAAGAGCUUGCUCUUACGGGUGGCGAGUGGCGGACGGGUGAGGAAUACAUCGGAAUCUACUUUUUCGUGGGGGAUAACGUAGGGAAACUUACGCUAAUACCGCAUACGACCUACGGGUGAAAGCAGGGGAUCUUCGGACCUUGCGCGAGUGAAUGAGCCGAUGUCGGUUUAGCUAGUUGGCGGGGGAAAGGGCCACCAAGGCGACGGUCCGUAGCUGGUCUGAGAGGAUGAUCAGCCACACUGGAACUGAGACACGGUCCAGACUCCUACGGGAGGCAGCAGUGGGGAAUAUUGGACAAUGGGCGCAAGCCUGAUCCAGCCUUACCGCGUGGGUGAAGAAGGCCUUCGGGUUGUAAAGCCCUUUUGUUGGGAAAGAAAAGCAGCAGGUUAAUACCCCGCUGUUCUGACGGUACCCAAAGAAUAAGCACCGGCUAACUUCGUG